GUGUCAGCAGCCGCGGUAAUACAGAGGUGGCAAGCGUUGUUCGGAUUUACUGGGCGUAAAGGGUGCGUAGGCGGUUCUGCGUGUCGGGUGUGAAAUCCCACGGAUUAUCUGUGGAACGGCAUUCGAAACUGCAGGGCUUGAGUGCAGGAGAGGAGAGCGGAAUUCUUGGUGUAGCGGUGAAAUGCGUUGAUAUCAAGAGGAACGCCGGUGACGAAGGUGGCUCUCUGGACUGCUACUGACGCUGAGGCACGAAAGCUAGGGGAGCAAACAGGAUUAGAUACCCCCGUAGUCC
RNAcentral lists this ribosomal RNA (292 nucleotides) under uncultured bacterium. RNAcentral's name for it is "partial 16S ribosomal RNA". It matches the Rfam family "Bacterial small subunit ribosomal RNA", at positions 505 to 796 of the family's 1533-position model. The record is from RNAcentral.